Molecule: non-coding RNA, 589 nt
Organism: Labrus mixtus (cuckoo wrasse)
Lineage: Eukaryota; Metazoa; Chordata; Actinopteri; Labriformes; Labridae
Source: the annotation of a RefSeq genome assembly
AAUGCCACUCCCUCACUAAAAACACCCCCCUCCAUUCUCUGCUGAUGAGGCAUUUACAGAUUAGACAGCGUCAAGGAUGUCUCCAGCUGUGAUUGGAUUUCUACUCAUCCUGCUUCCAUAUCGAGCAUCGAGUGUGACGUUUCAACCAUUGCAUCCAAAAGUAGUCGUUGAAAAGGCCCGGGUAGAAUUUAACUGCAGUCACGAUGAUGAAAAUCUUAAUGUGAUGCUCUGGUACCAGCAAACACAAAGCGGCCUGAUGGAUUUAAUCGGAUACGGCUACACUAGCAGUGAACCCGACUAUGAGGAGAAGUUCAAGGAUCGGUUUAACAUGAUAAGAAAAGACGUUACAACAGGAGCUCUGAUUAUUCCCAGUGUGACUCCAUCAGACUCAGCUGUGUAUUUCUGUGCUGCCAGUAACACAGUGAUGUGGUUUAAUAUCAGCCCCUCACUAAAAACCCUUCACUCUCUUAUUUUCAAGUUGAAGAUGCAGAGAGGAAAGUCAGCAGAACUUGUCUCAGUAAUUGUUACACAGGGAGUAAAAAUUCAUAAAGAAAACAGUAUGAAGGCAAACUGAAAUAAACACAAAUAA